UUUUUUUAAAAAAACCUAAGUCAACUGACACAUUAUUUAAGCAGUAUCCAUGUGGUUUGAUCGAAGAUUAUAUGGUUAACUACAGCUUCACCACCACUUUGGGACUGAAUACCUCUCAACGGCAGACCGAUAGAUCUGAGUCCCAUUUGUCCAAUCCCUGGAAUAGACACAUGGAGCUUAUGCAUCUGAGAUCAAUAUGCUAGAGAAGCUACCAUUCCUGGAUGUACUCACAAACAAGGCUAGUGCUGGAAGAUGCCUUGAAGGUCAUGUGGUCUGCUCAGUGCAAGACAGUCACAGAUUUCAGAUUGGUGGUCUUUAUUGCUGCACAUCGCAAUGAACACACUGUGCUGGUUCAGCAUUUUCAUGUGCUGCAUCGCAAGGAACUUCUGUUUGGAAUGAAUUGUAGACGCAUCAGAACACGAAAUACACUCAAGUGGGCUCCAACGACAUUUUCCAGUACUUAUGAAUGGUUAGUGGGUAGUAAUUUGCCUGUUGAAUUUCUUUUCGUGUGAGUAUUCUCAGUGGAUGCAUAUUUAUUUUCAAGGCUUUCGAUAUUUGCAGAAAAAGAAACAUUGACUUGAUUCUACAGGAAUAAAAAAGUUUGGCUUCAAGACCUGAGUCUUUGG
Molecule: long non-coding RNA, 626 nt
Filed under: Pogona vitticeps (central bearded dragon)
Lineage: Eukaryota; Metazoa; Chordata; Lepidosauria; Squamata; Agamidae
Description: lncRNA (ENSPVIG00000009668.1)
Source: RNAcentral